GGCGCGAUGGCGGAGUGGUUAACGCGAGAGACUAGAACUGGCUAAUCUCUUCCCUUCGGGGGCGUAGGUUCGAAUCCUGCUCGCGUCG
Blastomyces dermatitidis ER-3 is the source of this 88-nucleotide non-coding RNA. The record is from Rfam. Lineage: Eukaryota; Fungi; Ascomycota; Eurotiomycetes; Onygenales; Ajellomycetaceae.